This 411-nucleotide long non-coding RNA is filed under the name Dromaius novaehollandiae (emu). RNAcentral's name for it is "lncRNA (ENSDNVG00000015814.1)". Lineage: Eukaryota; Metazoa; Chordata; Aves; Casuariiformes; Dromaiidae. The record is from RNAcentral.
UGUCAGGAUUGCAGGAAUGCCUCGGUGUGAGGUGAACAAUGCAAGAAGCAACAAAAAGAAAAAGCAGUUUGAAGUGAUCUCCCUCAUCAUGCAGGGUGUCAACACAGAUCAGCAGGUACAGAAGAUUUUCUUGUAGAGAUGGUGCUGUGAUUAUUUCCAAGCCAAAUGCUAAAAACUCAGAAGAUUCAGUUAAACUUGAUUACCUACCUCAGUCUAUAGAAAGAGGGGACUACAAGGGCACCCAGGUUUUCGGCAUGGGAAGGACCUCCUGGCUGCUACAGAGCGGGGCAUCAGAUGGGCAAACCCUGCUGCAGGGAAGCUGGCAGUGCAAGGAGAGGCAGAGGGAGCAGCGUGGCACAGGUGCAAGUGCGCAGCAAGGGGCCAGCUCGGUGGGGUAGUCAGUGUGCGAUC